RNAcentral lists this transfer-messenger RNA (368 nucleotides) under Sulfurovaceae. RNAcentral describes it as "Nitratifractor sp913054475 Standard tmRNA". It matches the Rfam family "transfer-messenger RNA". From Rfam's summary of the family: Bacterial tmRNA, also known as 10Sa RNA or SsrA, is named for its dual tRNA and mRNA-like properties. Its role is to liberate the mRNA from a stalled ribosome. The record is from RNAcentral. RNAcentral also lists the same sequence under 1 other name. Lineage: Bacteria; Pseudomonadati; Campylobacterota; Epsilonproteobacteria; Campylobacterales.
GGGGGUGACUUGGUUUCGACUGGAGCAGUCGGAGCUGUGUGCAUGUCGGAGCGGACCACUCCGUAAUCAAGUCCAAACACAAAACAAACGCAAACAAUACAGAUUAUCGCCCCGCUUACGCCGUAGCGUAAGUAUAACCCUUUUUGGGGCUGUCUCACCGGUAACGCCGUCUCAACCGGAUUCGAGGCAUCGACAAACGACGGCUAUAUCGGCGGUGCGUCCCAACCGUCGAUGAAUCGAGGGACUGGUUCCGCGCAGCUCUGGGUAUCGUGCGAGGCGGAACGAGAAUAUAACGAUACCGUCUAAACAUGUAGAGUCACAGCGCCUGCUGUUUCAGGACAGGGGUUCGAUUCCCCUCACCUCCACCA